RNAcentral lists this ribosomal RNA (858 nucleotides) under Allophaeosphaeria subcylindrospora. Its description in RNAcentral is "eukaryotic LSU rRNA". It matches the Rfam family "Eukaryotic large subunit ribosomal RNA", at positions 77 to 952 of the family's 3401-position model. Lineage: Eukaryota; Fungi; Ascomycota; Dothideomycetes; Pleosporales; Phaeosphaeriaceae. The record is from RNAcentral.
GCCCUAGUAACGGCGAGUGAAGCGGCAACAGCUCAAAUUUGAAAUCUGGCUCUUUUAGAGUCCGAGUUGUAAUUUGCAGAGGGCGCUUUGGCGUUGGCAGCGGUCCAAGUUCUUUGGAACAGGACGUCACAGAGGGUGAGAAUCCCGUACGUGGUCGCUAGCCUUCGCCGUGUAAAGCCCCUUCGACGAGUCGAGUUGUUUGGGAAUGCAGCUCUAAAUGGGAGGUAAAUUUCUUCUAAAGCUAAAUACUGGCCAGAGACCGAUAGCGCACAAGUAGAGUGAUCGAAAGAUGAAAAGCACUUUGGAAAGAGAGUCAAAUAGCACGUGAAAUUGUUGAAAGGGAAGCGCUUGCAGCCAGACUUGCCUGUAGUUGCUUAUCCGGACUUUUGUCCGGUGCACUCUUCUGCGGGCAGGCCAGCAUCAGUUUAGGCGGUUGGAUAAAGGUCUCUAUCACGUACCUCCCUUCGGGGUUGGCCUUAUAGGGGAGACGACAUGCAACCAGCCUGAACUGAGGUCCGCGCAUCUGCUAGGAUGCUGGCGUAAUGGCUGUAAGCGGCCCGUCUUGAAACACGGACCAAGGAGUCUAACAUCUAUGCGAGUGUUUGGGUGUCAAGCCCAGACGCGUAAUGAAAGUGAACGGAGGUGGGAACCUUUUAGGUGCACCAUCGACCGAUCCUGAUGUCUUCGGAUGGAUUUGAGUAAGAGCAUGGCUGUUGGGACCCGAAAGAUGGUGAACUAUGCUUGAAUAGGGUGAAGCCAGAGGAAACUCUGGUGGAGGCUCGCAGCGGUUCUGACGUGCAAAUCGAUCGUCAAAUUUGGGCAUAGGGGCGAAAGACUAAUCGAACAUUUUUGCCUCAU